Molecule: non-coding RNA, 118 nt
Organism: Podarcis lilfordi (Lilford's wall lizard)
Lineage: Eukaryota; Metazoa; Chordata; Lepidosauria; Squamata; Lacertidae
Source: the annotation of a GenBank genome assembly
AACCAAGUUUGUUAUUGGUAUGAACUUUUGUGUGCAUGCACACUUCUUCAGAUACCUGAAGAAGUAUCUGAAGAAGUGUGCAUGCACACGAAAGCUCAUACCAAUAACAAACUUGGUU